This is a long non-coding RNA of Prunus dulcis (almond), 2243 nucleotides long. RefSeq lists it as uncharacterized. The record is from RefSeq and is a predicted model, not a curated record. NCBI's taxonomy places the organism in Eukaryota, Viridiplantae, Streptophyta, Magnoliopsida, Rosales, Rosaceae. The transcript is spliced from 2 exons.
CCUUCUUAUCUUAAAAGGCGCCUGAUCUCGCAAAUGAUAAAACCUUAACCCUCGGGCCCUCAGAGUCCCGAACGCGAGUGAGAGCAGAUCUGAGAAAAUGAGAGAUGUGAAACACAGAGAAGGUCUGGAAACCCUAACAAUGCCAUUGUCUCUGUGAUCGGAGCCUUCGCUGUAGAUCAGAGACAUGAGCGUGAAGAAAGAGAGAGACGACGGGGCAUGAAGAAAAGCUCCUCCAAUGCGAUUCUUGUUUUGCGAGGUUUAACGCCUCGAUGGCCGCCAUUGAUCCACGAUCGGAUCUGUUCAAGAGCUCACUGUUGAAAUCGCGUAGUAAUUAACACCAAGACCAGAGAUCUGAUGGGGCUAGGUACAUUCCAUGUCAGCUUGCUCAAGAUGCGAAAGAGUGCGAUGUGGAUUGAUAGGCACUGACAGUGGGCCUUCCUUUAUCUUUAAGGUUUUACUCCUUUCUCAUUCAAGCAUGUGGAUGUAUGUUUUUCUUUUGUAAGAUAUCAUUUUUUUGUUUUUAAAUGGAAACAAAAUGAACAAAAUAAGUUUCCAGAGGUAAAUAGCAUAGUAUUGUUGAAAACUUGAACGAUAUAUCUGACAAAAAACAAAAUUGGCACACAUUAUGGGAGCGCUUUGAAAUAGCAUAUUUUUGUUGAAUGAUAUAUUCUGAUAUGAGGGAGUGGGGUUUGGUACCUUACAUAUGGAAUCGGGAACAUUGUGACAUUACAUUAGUGAUACACGGUGGCGUAGUGAAUUUAAAAGUAAGCAUUUGUAGCAAUAUCGGAUGGUCUAAUAACCAUGCAUAACUAGACUGUUCAACAACUUGAUGUUCCGACAAAAAGAGAUCAGAUGAUGGGGUUUCUCUAACUUUCAAUGUAACAUGAGGUUAAAGACAUUAGAAAGUGAAAAAUCAUAAAUGGGUUAGUGCAUUAUUCAAAUAUUGUCGUACACAAUGUUCUAGGCAAUGUCAGUAAUCUGAGUGUUUUAAUUAGACCCUCCCCUUCUCAACUUUUCAAGUUAGGAUGAGAUUGCAAGGAGUCUCAGAAGUUCUCAGUAUUUUCUUUUGCAUCUAUGCACCCAAGCAAUGUUUAUAGGUUAUUACCAUGGAAAUAAAAUUUGAAGCAGUAAAUUUCAUAGAACUAAAAUUUAUCUGCCCACAUUGUCAAAUAUAUAUCGAUGAUAGAUUGGCAGUUAUAAAUUUAGAAGCCUAUUCAGUCUCUCUCUCUCUCUGGUGUUCUGUUAUAUUUCCUAGUUGAAGUUGGUACAUAUCAAUAUUAAUUUGAUAUAAUUUCUCAUUGUAGCUGUUUAUCAUUCAUUUUUUUGUUAUCUAUUGACUAUACCGUUGGAUUGUGUAAAAGCUGGAAGAUAUAUAACAUAUAUAAUUUCUAUGUUAAUUGUAUUUCCGUGUAUUGGCAGGUAUUCUUUUUGGUAGUAAAAUGUUGUUUAAAAUGAAGUUAUGAAUGGACAAAUAUAGUAAUAGAGUAUUUUAAAAUGUUUCUUCAGGAUGUUGUGUUCUGGUUUGCGAUCUUUAACAUUCAGUGGUUAUCCCACACCAAACGUUCUUCCUUUGAGUUGCAGCAUCUUGCAUUUUAAACAAAAGAACCUGUUGUUCUAUGUAUUUUUUGUUAUUGACAUAACAAACUGUUCUUCCUAUCAUUCCCACUUGUUGCAUUUUAACUUUAAUUUUUUUAUUCUAUGGUUUUUUUAUAUGCUUUUAUAUUACUACCUUUCAAGUUUGUCCACAUUUUAAAGACAUUAUCGUUCCUGAAAUGCCAGCCUUUUAUUUUGUAGGUAAUUUUUGAGGAUUGAUGUUUCUUCUAGAGACAUGCAAUGAAUUUUUUUGUCAGUUAGUUCGUUAGUGCGACUUUCUUAUGUUUGUUGUGUCGUACACUUGCACAUUCAGUAGUUCUGCUUCGGUUCAACGUAUUAUUUUGCACACUGACCAUCUGGCUUAUUUCAGUCUUUAUUCCAAUUGUUAUUAUUUCUGAUGGUUCUAAUUGUUUAAUUAUGUCUCAACUUUUGAGUCUUGAUAUUAUUUUAUUAAUUGUUUUAACUGUUUUUUUUUUCCCCCAGGUUCGCCUCAAAUUUCACUUUUGUUUUUCUGACAAAUUUGAUCUAAUUUCAAUCAAAACAAGUCUGUAUAAUAUCAAUUCUUUUAUUUGAGUGCUGCGGAUUGUAGCUUUUACUUGGAUAUACUUCCGACCCGCAAUACUGAAUUGGGCGUCGUCAAGUUUAAGGUU